Molecule: transfer RNA, 77 nt
Filed under: Acholeplasmatales bacterium
Lineage: Bacteria; Bacillati; Mycoplasmatota; Mollicutes; Acholeplasmatales
Description: tRNA-Arg
Rfam family: tRNA
About the family: Transfer RNA (tRNA) molecules are approximately 80 nucleotides in length. Their secondary structure includes four short double-helical elements and three loops (D, anti-codon, and T loops).
Source: RNAcentral
GACUCAGUAGCUCAGUUGGAUAGAGCAACGGCCUUCUAAGCCGUAGGUCAGAAGUUCGAAUCUUCCCUGAGUCGCCA